This 828-nucleotide ribosomal RNA is filed under the name uncultured bacterium. RNAcentral's name for it is "bacterial SSU rRNA". It matches the Rfam family "Bacterial small subunit ribosomal RNA", at positions 1 to 813 of the family's 1533-position model. The record is from RNAcentral.
CCCUUAGAGUUUGAUCCUGGCUCAGAAUCAACGCUGGCGGCGUGCCUAACACAUGCAAGUCGAACGCGAAAGCCCCUUCGGGGGUGAGUAGAGUGGCGUCCGGGUGAGUAACACGUGGGUAAUCUACCUCCGGGUGGGGAAUAACUUGCCGAAAGGCGAGCUAAUACCGCAUAACGCAGCGGCACCUGAUGGUGAAUAGUUGUUAAAGCGGGGGACCGGCAACGGCCUCGCGUCUGGAGAGGAGCCCGCGGCCGAUUAGCUGGUUGGUGAGGUAACGGCUCACCAAGGCUGCGAUCGGUAGCUGGUCUGAGAGGACGGCCAGCCACACUGGCACUGACAUACGGGCCAGACUCCUACGGGAGGCAGCAGUGGGGAAUUUUGGGCAAUGGGCGAAAGCCUGACCCAGCAACGCCGCGUGAAGGAGGAAAUCCUUCGGGAUGUAAACUUCACAAGCAAGGGAAGAGCGCAAGCCAUAUAAUACAUGGCUUGUCCGACGGUACCUUGCGUAAGCCACGGCUAACUACGUGCCAGCAGCCGCGGUAAUACGUAGGUGGCAAGCGUUGUUCGGAAUUAUUGGGCGUAAAGGGCGCGUAGGCGGCCUGUUAAGUCAGUCGUGAAAGCCCGGGGCUCAACCCCGGAGGGUCGACUGAUACUGGCAGGCUAGAGUACGGAAGAGGUAGCUGGAAUUCCCGGUGUAGCGGUGAAAUGCGUAGAUAUCGGGAGGAACACCUGAGGCGAAGCGGGCUACUGGGCCGAUACUGACGCUGAGCGCGAAGCCAGGGGAGCGAACGGGAUAGAUACCCCGGUAGUCCUGGCCCUAACGAUGGA